CGGAGCUUCACACAUAUUGUUUGAACCCUCCACUUGAGAAAGUGCCAGAAGGCGACUGGUUUUGUGGUAAGAAAAAAGGAAAGAA
Molecule: non-coding RNA, 85 nt
Filed under: Fragilariopsis kerguelensis
Lineage: Eukaryota; Bacillariophyta; Bacillariophyceae; Bacillariales; Bacillariaceae
Source: RNAcentral